AGGCAGCAGUGGGGAAUAUUGCACAAUGGGGGAAACCCUGAUGCAGCGACGCCGCGUGAAGGAAGAAGUAUCUCGGUAUGUAAACUUCUAUCAGCAGGGAAGAAAAUGACGGUACCUGACUAAGAAGCCCCGGCUAACUACGUGCC
This 146-nucleotide ribosomal RNA is filed under the name uncultured bacterium. RNAcentral describes it as "partial 16S ribosomal RNA". It matches the Rfam family "Bacterial small subunit ribosomal RNA", at positions 346 to 509 of the family's 1533-position model. The record is from RNAcentral.